GGGUCAGUAGGUUGGUCGUGCCACCGGUACGUACUGGUCUCACUGAUUCCUCCUUCCUGAAGAACCGUAAUGCCAUUAAUUUGGUGUUGCGGGGAAACAGGACUGUUACUUUGAAAAAAUUAGAGUGUUUAAAGCAAGCUAACGCUUGAAUACAUUAGUAUGGAAUAAUGAAAUAGGACGAUCGAUCCUAUUUUGUCGGUUUCUAGGAUUGACGUA
This 216-nucleotide ribosomal RNA is filed under the name Glomeromycotina sp. RNAcentral's name for it is "partial small subunit ribosomal RNA". The stretch from base 40 to 216 matches the Rfam family "Eukaryotic small subunit ribosomal RNA", at positions 686 to 864 of the family's 1831-position model. Lineage: Eukaryota; Fungi; Glomeromycota. The record is from RNAcentral.